Molecule: non-coding RNA, 101 nt
Filed under: Dellaglioa algida
Lineage: Bacteria; Bacillati; Bacillota; Bacilli; Lactobacillales; Lactobacillaceae
Also listed under: 1 other name
Description: Lactobacillus algidus TPP sequence
Rfam family: TPP riboswitch aptamer (THI element)
About the family: Vitamin B(1) in its active form thiamin pyrophosphate (TPP) is an essential coenzyme that is synthesised by coupling of pyrimidine and thiazole moieties in bacteria. The previously detected thiamin-regulatory element, thi box was extended, resulting in a new, highly conserved RNA secondary structure, the THI element, which is widely distributed in eubacteria and also occurs in some archaea.
Source: RNAcentral
ACCAACACAAAGGGGAGCCGAUAUCUGGCUGAGAGUGAAGAAAUUCAGACCCUUGGAACCUGUUUGUUAAUGCAAACGUAGGAAUUGUGUGUAGAAGAUUA